Molecule: ribosomal RNA, 437 nt
Filed under: uncultured bacterium
Lineage: Bacteria
Description: partial 16S ribosomal RNA
Rfam family: Bacterial small subunit ribosomal RNA
Source: RNAcentral
AGCGAACGCUGGCGGCAGGCUUAACACAUGCAAGUCGAGCGGGCAUCCUUGUGGUGUCAGCGGCAGACGGGUGAGUAACGCGUGGGAACGUGCCCUUCGGUUCGGAAUAACUCAGGGAAACUUGAGCUAAUACCGGAUACGUGCGAGAGCAGAAAGGUUUAUCUGCCGAAGGAUCGGCCCGCGUCUGAUUAGCUAGUUGGUGAGGUUACGGCUCACCAAGGCGACGAUCAGUAGCUGGUCUGAGAGGAUGAUCAGGCACACUGGGACUGAGACACGGCCCAGACUCCUACGGGAGGCAGCAGUGGGGAAUAUUGGACAAUGGGGGCAACCCUGAUCCAGCCAUGCCGCGUGAGUGAUGACGGCCUUAGGGUUGUAAAGCUCUUUUCUCCGGGACGAUAAUGACGGUACCGGAGGAAUAAGCCCCGGCUAACUUCGUG